GUGAGUCAUCGAAUCUUUGAACGCACCUUGCACUCUUUGGUAUUCCGAAGAGUAUGCUUGUUUGAGUAUCAUUAAAUUCUCAAACCACUACUUGGUUUUAUAUCAAGUCAGUGGCUUUGGAUGUGGAGGUUGCAGGCUUCUUGUAAAGUCUGCUCUUCUUAAAAGCAUUAGUGGUUAUUGAUUCCACUUCUUGGUGUGAUAAUAUCUACGCCUUGUAAGAACGGAUCUAAUGUAGCUGCUCUCAAACCGUCUUUAUUGACAAUUUGAACCAUUUGAUCUCAAAUCAAGUAGGACUACCCG
This 300-nucleotide unclassified non-coding RNA is filed under the name uncultured Calyptella. RNAcentral describes it as "sequence contains 5.8S rRNA gene, ITS2". The stretch from base 1 to 71 matches the Rfam family "5.8S ribosomal RNA", at positions 84 to 154 of the family's 154-position model. Lineage: Eukaryota; Fungi; Basidiomycota; Agaricomycetes; Agaricales; Tricholomataceae. The record is from RNAcentral.